This 433-nucleotide ribosomal RNA is filed under the name uncultured bacterium. RNAcentral's name for it is "partial 16S ribosomal RNA". It matches the Rfam family "Bacterial small subunit ribosomal RNA", at positions 29 to 507 of the family's 1533-position model. The record is from RNAcentral.
AACGAACGCUGGCGGCAUGCCUAACACAUGCAAGUCGAACGAGACGUUCCGGCCUUUGUGCGCACGGCUAGUUGACGCGUGGGAACCUGCCCUUAGGUUCGGUAUAACUCCCCGAAAGGGAUGCUAAUACCGCUUAAUCUCUUCCCGCCAAAGAUUUAUUGCUUUUGGGUGGGCCCGGGUUGGAUUAGCUAGUUGGUAGGGUAAAAGCCUACCAUGGGCACGAUGCAGAGCUGGUAUGAUAGCAGGAUCAGCCCCACUGGGAAUGAGACACGGCCCAGACUGGGACGCGAGGCAGCAGUGGAGAAUAUUAGACGAGGGGCGAUAGCGUGAUCAAGCAAUGCGGGGUGAGUGAGGAAGGCGGUUGGAUUGUAAUGCUCUUUUACCCGGGAUGAGAAUGACAGUAACGGGUGAAUAAGCACCGGCUAACUACGUG